UUGGACAGUGAAGCUGUGUGGGGGUCGAGGGGGUGUGGUUAGGGCAACAUGGUCAAAAUGGCCCCCAAGAUUCCCAACCCUGCUCCCGGUGAACAGGACCUGAGGGGAUAUCACCCCCCAUGAUUAUAUUAUUUUAUGUGGCAAAAGGGAUUUUGCCUUUAGAACUCAGUGCCCUACUCACUGACUGGGUUAAUCAAAAGGAAAAUUGUCCUGGGUGGGCCUGGCUUAAUCAGGGGAGCCCUUAAAGUUGAAAAGAAGCUGCAGCAAGGCUCUCCUGCUAGCAGGAAGAGGUGAGCUGCCCGGUUGUGAGAGGAGGACCAGGUGACAAGGACCCUCACAGGGCAGCUUCUAGAAGCUGGGAGCUGUCCCUGGCCAGCAGCCAGUAAGAAAAAGAAGACCUUGGUCCUAAAACUGCAAGGAAAUGAAUUCUGCUAACAACUGCAUGAAUGUGGAAAAGGGCCCUGAGCACAGGGAGAGCAAGCCAUGGAGGAGCAGAGAGAGACAGAGACAGAAAAAUCCCAACACUAUGGAGCAGGCUGUGUCCGUGUGGCUGGUGGGACCUCAGGCAAAGCAGAUGACGAAAAUAUCUUACGGGAGGUGUUUUCUCAACGGAGACCAUGCAUCCAACACGGAAAGUCCAGCCUGGUUUUCCACAGGCGAAGUGAGGGAUGGAGAAGUCUGCACGGUGAUGCUCCGCGACCUUCAGGACGCACGGUCAGAGCACGAACAGGAAGACACUGCACAUCGCUCCGGAGGAUUGUGGUGUCGCUUGGAGAACGUCUGGGUGCGACCCCGAUGUCAAAGCAUCCUGCCAGGGAAAGAGCAAGGCGCACUCGCCAGCCUGGGGGAGCCCAAGGCCUCGCGUGGCGCCUGUUUGCACUUUUCCCACCAGCCUCUGCCUCCCUUUCUGCCACACCUCCCCGGUGGCAAAGUGUGCCUCCCUCGUUAAUUUCCACAAGAAAUCAACAAGACGGGAAGAAGACUUUUGGUUUCAUUUCGCUUUGUUUCUUCAUAAAUGGUUUCGUUGACACGUAAUUGCACACGAUUCACCCGUUUAACGUGUACAGUUCAGGGCGUUGGGUGUAUUCACACACGUGUGCCACCAGCACACCACCGUCUGUUUUAGAGCAUUUUUGUCACCUCAAAAAAACCUCCGAACCCUUUAGCUAUUAUCCCCCAACCUUCCUCCAACCCCCCACCCCAAACCCCACCCCCAACCUAGUCGUAAGCAACCAUGAAUCUACUUCCUGUUCCUGUAGAUUUCCCAGUCCUGGACUUUCAUGCGAAUGGAAUCCUAGAACAUGUGAUCUUUUCGUGACUGGUUCCUGUCAGGCAUCAUGAACAGUUACGUGGUUCAUCCACGUUGUGUCACGUAUCAGCACUUCGUUCCUUUGUAUGAUGGAAUAAUACUCUGUUGUAUACUUUG
Long non-coding RNA from Panthera uncia (snow leopard), 1426 nucleotides. RefSeq lists it as uncharacterized. Lineage: Eukaryota; Metazoa; Chordata; Mammalia; Carnivora; Felidae. The record is from RefSeq and is a predicted model, not a curated record. The transcript is spliced from 3 exons.